CCCUUUGUCCCUCCGAUCCGCUGCCGGGCAGGUUCCUGAAAAGUUAAACACGCAAAAUAAAUAAGAGAGAAAGCGGGAAGAGGUCGGCUAGGGCCCCAGGGACUACGGGUGGAGAGAAAGGGAGGGAGGCGCCAGCUCCGGGGCUGGGACCAAUCCGACCCGGCAGAAGCAGGAAAGAGAAGCCCCGGGUCAGCUCGGACUACGAACACCCCACAAACCCCACCUCUCUGAUUUUUCCACUGUUUGGUACAUUCCCCCCCCCUUCCCCUGCGCUCAAACGAAUGCUGCAGCCACCGGUCGGGCAUUUUCCAGUGAACUGACGCCCUAAAAUACCGAUCGGGGAAAAAAUAAAUCCCCUCAAAUGGAAGAAAAACGAAAAGGACCCCUGCUCUUGGGAAGAAUUUAAAUUUUAAUGAUAGGUUCGGGGAUGCUUCUUCUGCCGAGUAAUAAGGGGAGGUGGGAGCAUGCUGGAAGGAGAGAGGCCCAGAGGAUGCAGGAAAACUAAGUGGGGAAGAGGAACCGAUUCCGCGUUCUUGGUGGCCCUCGGCACCACUCUCCAGAGACCCCAGCUCCCAGGACCCAAAAACUCGAUCUCUUUCCCCUCCCCCAGCUCCUCACAGUCCGAGCCCGAAGCUAUGCGUCCCACCGCGCCGCCGCAGCCGCCUCAGCCUCCCACUUUCACAACUGCCCGGGAACAGACGGCGUGACCUGCACCUGGAAAACUGGCACUGCCAACCAUUCUCUAGCCCAUAAAUCUUUCCCCUCGAUCUGAGCAGCUUCCUUCUCUGCAGAUGUUGGCAAUCAGGUUUGCAAAAUUUCAAAGUCAUUCAUUGCAGACGGGUGAAGGGAGGCAGGGCUGAUUGCAGCAAACACACACAAAAUCUUGUCACCUUAGCAAAGUCUACUGUCAUCACAGCAACCCCCUCUCCACACCCCAGAAAAAAAAGUCUUGAACCGCAGAAGGGAGACCUCCCCACAACUUUGCAGACAACAGCUGCAACAUCAAAGAAUCACAAUAGAACAAGGCAAUUCACCCCCACCCCAAGUCAGAACGGCCUACCACUCUGCUCUGCAGUCCUGGAGCUCAGUCCCGGUACACCCAGGAGUCUCGGAUAGGCAGAGUCUGACUGCCCAACAUCUGGGAAUCAGCCAGCGGUAGGAGCUCAGAGACUGAGACAGUCGGAAUGGGAGGGUGUCUAUAUGGCUGGGUGUUUAUUAAAUACACCAAAGCUUCCAAAAAUCUUAGUAAACAAAUCUUAAGGGGGAAAAGGCAGUGGGAAAAGAUCUUUUUUUAAAGAAAAGAAAAAAGUUUUACCGUUCUGGCUUUUGUGGGAUUUUUUUUUAUCUUAAAAGGUUCUAAAACUGAAAACACACUCUUCGGGUUGGACUAGCCUUUAAAAGUUAUCUUGGAAUUAACCCCCCCC
Molecule: long non-coding RNA, 1424 nt
Organism: Phascolarctos cinereus (koala)
Lineage: Eukaryota; Metazoa; Chordata; Mammalia; Diprotodontia; Phascolarctidae
Source: RefSeq, a predicted model, not a curated record